AUUGAACGCUGGCGGAGUGCAUUACACAUGCAAGUCGAACGGCAGCACGGACUUCGGUCUGGUGGCGAGUGGCGAACGGGUGAGUAAUGUAUCGGAACGUGCCCAGUCGUGGGGGAUAACGUAGUGAAAAUUACGCUAAUACCGCAUACGAUCUAUGGAUGAAAGCGGGGGAUCGCAAGACCUCGCGCGAUUGGAGCGGCCGAUAUCAGAUUAGGUAGUUGGUGGGGUAAAGGCCCACCAAGCCAACGAUCUGUAGCUGGUCUGCGAGGACGACCAGCCAAACUGGAACUGAGACACGGUCCAGACUCCUCCGGGAGGCAUCAGUGGGGAAUUUUGGACAAUGGGCGAAAGCCUGAUCCAGCCAUUCCGCGUGCAGGAUGAAUGCCCUCGGGUUGUAAACUGCUUUUGUACAUAACGAAAAGGUUUCUACUAAUACUAGGAGCUCAUGACGGUACUGUAAGAAUAAGCACCGGCUAACUACGUGCCAGCAGCCGCCGUAA
This 500-nucleotide ribosomal RNA is filed under the name uncultured bacterium. Its description in RNAcentral is "partial 16S ribosomal RNA". It matches the Rfam family "Bacterial small subunit ribosomal RNA", at positions 30 to 523 of the family's 1533-position model. The record is from RNAcentral.